Molecule: non-coding RNA, 591 nt
Organism: Acanthosepion pharaonis
Lineage: Eukaryota; Metazoa; Mollusca; Cephalopoda; Sepiida; Sepiidae
Source: the annotation of a GenBank genome assembly
GAGGGAUUGACUGGUCUUUAUCGAUUCGAUUGGUGGUAUUGCAUCGCCGUUGAGUGAUCCGUCUGGUUGAUUCCAAUGAUGAAUGAGACUUCAGCUUGCUGACUCGUACGUUGACGUAUGUGGUUCUUCAAAGGCGUGUACGAUAUUUAUUACGCCCGGAUCCCGAUCGGUUUUCUCACGCAUUUCUUAGAGCAGCUGUGAUACAAAAUCGUACGAAGCAGGGAACUGAUCUGUGAUCUUCUUAUACAGGAGAAUCACAGAAACGGAAAUUGAUCUGUGAAUCGCGCUAUACAGGAGUUUUCAUCAAGUAUUUCCUCCUGGCUCAAGAGAGCCGAGAAAUCCUACAGCUACCUCUCAUAAUAAGAGCUUAGCCUCUAAUCAACUCCAUGAACAAAGAAAAUACCUGCUAGGCGCAUAUUUACACCUCCCUGCGCUUUGUAAACACCAAAUGUCGCCACUACCAAAUGAAUGGUUUGUUGAAAGCCUCAGAAAUGCCUGACGACGUUGUUAGUCGUUCGUGUCGUCUUCGGCUUGGCGGGAGGUACCUGGAGAAAAUGACUGAAUCCAAAUAGUUUAGAGGAAGUAAAUGCC